GGGGCCAUAGCUCAGUUGGCUAGAGCGCCGCGUUUGCAACGCGGAGGUCGUGGGUUCGAAUCCCACUGGCUCCA
RNAcentral lists this transfer RNA (74 nucleotides) under Solirubrobacterales bacterium. RNAcentral describes it as "tRNA-Ala". It matches the Rfam family "tRNA". From Rfam's summary of the family: Transfer RNA (tRNA) molecules are approximately 80 nucleotides in length. Their secondary structure includes four short double-helical elements and three loops (D, anti-codon, and T loops). The record is from RNAcentral. Lineage: Bacteria; Bacillati; Actinomycetota; Thermoleophilia; Solirubrobacterales. RNAcentral also lists the same sequence under 1 other name.